This 253-nucleotide ribosomal RNA is filed under the name uncultured bacterium. Its description in RNAcentral is "partial 16S ribosomal RNA". It matches the Rfam family "Bacterial small subunit ribosomal RNA", at positions 524 to 776 of the family's 1533-position model. The record is from RNAcentral.
UACGUAGGGGGCAAGCGUUGUCCGGAUUUAUUGGGCGUAAAGAGCGUGUAGGCGGCUUUACAGGUCCGUUGUGAAAACUCGAGGCUCAACCUCGAGACGCCGGUGGAAACCGUAAAGCUAGAGUCCGGAAGAGGAGAGUGGAAUUCCUGGUGUAGCGGUGAAAUGCGUAGAUAUCUGGAGGAACACCGGUGGCGAAGGCGACAUCCUGGACCGGUAUUGACGCUGAGACGCGAAAGCCAGGGGAGCGAACGGG